GAAAUUCAGUUUUUAAAAUUUUCAAAUUCCAAUGUCUUAAUUUUUUCUUUUAUUUUUUCUCCAAUAUGAAUAUUCCUGAAUGAGUCAAUGAAGUCAGAUUUUGCUGGGUCCUGCUGAUAAUGAAGGGUUAACUUUUCCAAACUAAACAAUCUAUUUCCACUUUCCAGUUAAUAAACUUUUGAAGAAAAUGUACAAAAUAACAAAUGUUUAUAUUUUAAAUAAAUUUUAGACAAGAAACAAAAUGUUUAUUUUUUAACAUACCAAUGUAAUUAUGGUUUUUGAUACUUCCAGUUAAUUUAUGUAGCUCUUUUUUUUUUUCAGGCAGAACUAUAUUUCUUUGGCCAGAAGACUUCCUUUAAACGUCUCCCUCUUUCACCUCCACUGGAGUGUAGUGGUAUAGCUACAGCUCACUGCAGCCUUGACUUCCUGGCCUCAAGCCUUCCUCUUACCUCAGCCUCUAGAGCAGGCUCAUGAUCAUAUUUCGGUAAUUGGAACACAGCCAUUCCAAGGCUUUUAGCAGUUUCUUGUACAUUAAUCAUCUUGUUCCUGUCUAGACACUAGCUAUGAAUGUGAAGAAGCCAUUCUGGACAUUCCAGACCCAGCAGAUGCCACAUGGAACAGUACUGAGGUCCAAAACACAUGGUUUUCCACCAUAUCCUGACAAUUGAACUACCCUGGCUGAAGCCCAGACAUCAUGGCACAAAGACAAGCUGUCAUCACUGAACCCUGACAAAGUUCUUGACCCACAGAAUUGUAAGCCUAAUAAAAGUGGAUUUUUAAAAAAAU
RNAcentral lists this long non-coding RNA (786 nucleotides) under Homo sapiens (human). RNAcentral's name for it is "HSALNT0191602". Lineage: Eukaryota; Metazoa; Chordata; Mammalia; Primates; Hominidae. The record is from RNAcentral.